GAGCCUGAUGCAGGGCUCAAUCCCAUGACCCUGAGAUCAUGACCUGAGCUGAAAUCAAGAGUCAAAUGCUCAACCAUCUGAGCCACCGAGGCAUCUCAAUUGUGCCUUUUUAAUAUAGAAAAUUCAGGGCACCUGGGCGGCUCAGUUGGUUAAGUGUCUGACUCUUGCUUUUGGCUCAGGUCAUGAUCUCAUGGUUCAUGAGAUCAAGCCCCAUGUUGGUCUCUGCAUUGAAAGGAGGGAGCCUGCUUAGGAUUCUCUCUCUGUCCCUCUGUGUCCCCCUCCCCUGCUUGCUCGCUCUCUCUCUCUCUCAAAAUAAAUAAACUUAAAAAUAUAUAGAGAAAAUUAUAUAAGCAGUUAAACAUUAAGGAGAGAAUCCCCAAACACAAGUUAUUAAACUGAAGUCUAGUCACAAAUCACUGCUUAUUCUAACCCUCAUUUAUUUAAAACCAGAUUUGUGUCAAAGUCUUUCCAGAGACGUUUUUACAGUUCCAAUCCUUCAGGCUUGGGACAACUGAUGCUUCCUUCUUCUUAUUGCUUAUUGCUUCCUUCUGCCUGCCCAGUUUCUACAGCUCCAAAGCCAGAGAGUAGCAUGCCUUGACCAUGUUCCGCUUGCUCUGAGAAUUCCUGUCAGCACUGGAUUCCAUCGUUAAAAAAAAAAAAAAAAAAAAAAAAGGAAUUAUAUAUGAAACUUCUGCAAAAAUACAUGCUUAUUCAAUAUAAUGUAUGGUUAUUGACAGAAGCUUUUAGCAUAACAGAAACACCACAGACUUUGGAAUCAGGCCUGGGACCAAAUCCUGAGUCCAUCAACAUGGGAUCUUCUGAAUUGGAGAGCAACACCUGUCUAGAUGCAAUGUUCCGUUUUCCUAUUCCUUGACUGUUAUUAGUCUAAUCUCCCUAGCCUAGAUCUUCUCAGUUUUAAGGGAAAUACUUCGGGGCACCUGAGUGGCUCAGCUGGUUGAGCGUCUGACUUCGGCUCAGGUCAUAAUCUCACGGUUUGUGAGUUCGAGCCCGGCGUCGGGCUCUGGGCUGACAGCUCAGAGCCUGGAGCCUGCUUCGGAUUCCGUGUCUCCUUCUCUCUCUGCCCAUCCCCUGCUUGUGCUCUGUCUCUCUGUCUCUCAAAAAUAAAUAACUGUAAGGGAAAUACUUCUAAAUCCUUACAGUUCGUGUAAAACCAUUCCCAGGGCUCAGCCUGGUCUUUCUGUGAAAUGAGGCUAAAAUCUCCCACCCAGAAUCAUUGUGAAGAUGGGAUGAGGGAGCAGACCCCACAGAAAAGGCCUAUGUAGAGAAAGACACUAUUGGUGCUAGUAUCCUUCCCCUCACUCCCCGUGCCUUUUCAUUUGUUAUUGAGGAAUAACGUUUAUGCUGAAAAGUGCACAUGGAUUGGGGUGUGAAUUUCCACAAACAGCACAGACCUAUGCAACCAACCUGCAGGUCAAGAAAUCACAGACUCCAAGGAGCUCCCCGGAGCCCCUUCCCUUCCCUAUUUUCAUAGUUUGGGGACUAAUGACAUUGUCAUCCAUAGGAGAGAAGCUGCCCUAAGGAUUUUCUCCAAAACCUUGUGUGUACCAGCAAAAACCAGCAAAGUUCUCAGAAGGUGGUAAUGUAUUGCCUUGUAAUGGGUUUCUCCUCAGGAUAUCCAAGUGGACAGAGAGUUUGACGACCUCGCUAUCUCAGUGAAGGUAAUUCUUCCAGCACUUUAUAUCAAGACUGCUGCCCACAGAGUGGAGUACAAACGACUUGCCUCCAGUCUACACCCCGUCCCUACUGGCGUCUGUCCCUAAGUGACUGCGGUAUGUGGCUUCCUCUCACAUUGGCCACUUCAACUUCCAUGUGGAGAGUUCUUGGCCUCAUGAUGCUUUAUUACCACUUGAGUCUGCAGUGAGUCCCCAUGUCAGCUGGGUGGUCAUGAGCUCACGAACCUUGGGAUGGAGCCCUGCAUCAGGCUCUGUGCUGUGCGUUGGUGGAGCAGAGCCUGCCUCGGAGUCUCUCUCUCCCUCUCUCCCUUGCUCUUUCUUUCUCUCAAAAUGAAUAAAAUAACAUUAAAAAAAAUAAAAAUGGUAUGCCCAUACAAUGGAAUAUUAUUUGGCCAUAAAAAGAAAUGAAAUUUGAGGUGAUGAUAGCAUUCUAAACUUGCUUGUGGUAAUGGCUGCACAACUCUGUGAAUAUACCAAAAGUAAUUGGACAUUUUAAAUAGAUGAAUUGUAGAGGAUGUGAACUGUAUCUCAAUAAAGCUGUUUACAAGAAACAGGAGUGAAGGAUCAUGCUACCACAGGAAUGUAUCAUGUAACAGGAGGAAUGUGUCAUGCUACAACAUGAAUGAACCUUGAAAACAUGAUGCUGUGAAAGAAGCCAUUCACAAAAGACCACAUAUUGUAUGAUUCUGUUUAUAGGAAAUGUCCAGAAUAGGUAAAUCUACCAAGACAGAAAGUAGAUUAGAAGUUGCCUAGGGCUGGGGCGCCUGUGUGGCUCAGUGGGUCGAACAUCUGACUCUUGAUUUCAGCUGAUUGUGAUCCCAGGGGAUUGAGUCCUGUGUCCUGUGUCUCCAUGCUGAGCAUGGAGCCUUCUUGGGAUUCUCUCACUCACUUGCUCUGCUCCUGCUCUCUCUCUCUCUCUCUCUCACACACACACACACAAACACACACACUCUCUCUCUCUCUCUCUC
Acinonyx jubatus (cheetah) is the source of this 2662-nucleotide long non-coding RNA. RefSeq lists it as uncharacterized. Lineage: Eukaryota; Metazoa; Chordata; Mammalia; Carnivora; Felidae. The transcript is spliced from 2 exons. The record is from RefSeq and is a predicted model, not a curated record.